UGAGGAAUAUUGGGCAAUGCCCGCAAGGGUGACCCAGCAACGCCGCGUGGAGGAUGAAUGUCGUAAGAUUGUAAACUCCUGUUAGAGGGGAAGAAUAGUACCGGUUGGACCGGUAUAUGACUGUACCCUCAGAGAAAGCCCCGGCUAACUACGUGCCAGCAGCCGCGGUAAUACGUAGGGGGCAAGCGUUGUCCGGAUUUACUGGGUGUAAAGGGCGCGCAGGCGGGAUAAAAAGUCAGUGGUGAAAUCCUACAGCUUAACUGUAGAACUGCCUUUGAUACUUUUAUGCUUGAGUUCGGGAGAGAGAGACGGAAUUCCAGGUGUAGUGGUGAAAUACGUAGAUAUCUGGAAGAACACCAGUUGCGAAGGCGGUCUCUUGGUCUGACACUGACGCUGAGGCGCGAAAGCGUGGGGAGCAAACA
Molecule: ribosomal RNA, 422 nt
Filed under: uncultured bacterium
Lineage: Bacteria
Description: bacterial SSU rRNA
Rfam family: Bacterial small subunit ribosomal RNA
Source: RNAcentral